UUGGAGGGCAAGUCUGGUGCCAGCAGUUGCGGUAAUUCCAGCUCCAAUAGCGUAUAUUAAAGUUGUUGCAGUUAAAAAGCUCGUAGUUGAAUUUCGGGAUUAGUACGCUGGUCGUGCCUUCGGUACGUACUGGUGUUACUGAUUUCUACCUUCUGACGAACCAUCAUGUCAUUAAUUUGGUGUGGUGGGGAAUCAGGACUGUUACUUUGAAAAAAUUAGAGCGUUUAAAGCAGGCUCGCGCUUGAAUACAUUAGCAUGGAAUAAUGAAAUAGGACGUUGAUCCUAUUUUGUUGGUUUCUAGGAUUGACGUAAUGAUUAAUAGGGAUAGUUGGGGCAUUAGUAUUCAAUUGUCAGAGGUGAAAUUCUUGGAUUUAUUGAAGACUAACUAUUGUGAAAGCAUUUGCCAAGGAUGUUUUCAUUAAUCAAGAACGAAAGUCAGGGGAUCGAAGACGAUCAGAUACCGUCGUAGUCUUAACCAUAAACUAUGCCGACUAGGGAUCGGAUGAUGUUAAUUUUUUAAUGACUCAUUCGGCGCCUUACGGGAAA
Molecule: ribosomal RNA, 546 nt
Filed under: uncultured Glomeromycotina
Lineage: Eukaryota; Fungi; Glomeromycota
Description: SSU rRNA
Rfam family: Eukaryotic small subunit ribosomal RNA
Source: RNAcentral